RNAcentral lists this non-coding RNA (411 nucleotides) under Nelumbo nucifera (sacred lotus). RNAcentral's name for it is "Eukaryotic small subunit ribosomal RNA". It matches the Rfam family "Eukaryotic small subunit ribosomal RNA", at positions 1 to 416 of the family's 1831-position model. The record is from Rfam by way of RNAcentral. Lineage: Eukaryota; Viridiplantae; Streptophyta; Magnoliopsida; Proteales; Nelumbonaceae.
AAUCUGGUUGAUCCUGCCAGUAGUCAUAUGCUUGUCUCAAAGACUAAGCCAUGCAUGUCUAAGUAUAAAUGUUAUACAGUGAAACUGCGAAUGGCUCAUUAAAACAGUUAUAGUUUAUUUGAUAAUCGAAUUUACAUGGAUAACCGUGGUAAUUCUAGAGCUAAUACAUGCUGUUAAGCCUGACUUUUAGGAAGGGCUGUAUUUAUUAGAUAACAAACCAAUAUUCCUUGUGUCUAUUGUGACGAAUCAUAAUAACUGAUCGAAUCGCAUGGACUUUGUCCGCGAUACAUCAUUCAAGUUUCUGCCCCAUCAGCUUUCGAUGGUAGUGUAUUGGACUACCAUGGCUUUAACGGGUAACGGAGGAUUAGGGUUCGAUUCCGGAGAGGGAGCCUGAGAAACGGCUACCACAUC